AUCAUUUUUCUCAGUCCAUGCCAUCUGGAAAUAACAAUAAUCCCACUUUCCUAAAUCAAUAUCAAUGAACACAUUGGACUAAACCUCAACAAAGCAUCACAAAGAUAACCACUCGAUAAUAUCUAAUAGAAUAAAAGGCAUAAUAGAAGGCCCAAAACACGAUAAAAAUGGUAGAAACAAAACUAAAACAUUCAUUUGUAACAGCAUUGAAGCACGCACUCGAAAACCCUAAAUAUGAUACGAAAUUAUUGAAGUAACUACCGCACUGAGAAAAGCUAUGCUCUUAAACCCAAAAUUAAUCACUCUAUGAAAAGCAAAACCCUAAUGAAGA
This 331-nucleotide unclassified non-coding RNA is filed under the name Hevea brasiliensis (rubber tree). Lineage: Eukaryota; Viridiplantae; Streptophyta; Magnoliopsida; Malpighiales; Euphorbiaceae. The record is from RNAcentral.